This 285-nucleotide ribosomal RNA is filed under the name Staphylococcus aureus. RNAcentral's name for it is "partial 16S ribosomal RNA". It matches the Rfam family "Bacterial small subunit ribosomal RNA", at positions 508 to 792 of the family's 1533-position model. The record is from RNAcentral. Lineage: Bacteria; Bacillati; Bacillota; Bacilli; Caryophanales; Staphylococcaceae.
CCAGCAGCCCCGGGUAAUACGUAGGUGGCAAGCGUUAUCCGGAAUUAUUGGGCGUAAGCGCGCGUAGGCGGUUUUUUAAGUCUGAUGUGAAAGCCCACGGCCCUUUUAUGGAGGGUCAUUGGAAACUGGAAAACUUGAGUGCAGCAUAGGAAAGUGGAAUUCCAUGUGUAGCGGUGAAAUGCGCAGAGAUAUGGAGGAACACCAGUGGCGAAGGCGACUUUCUGGUCUGUAACUGACGCUGAUGUGCGAAAGCGUGGGGAUCAAACAGGAUUAGAUACCCUGGUA